AAAUAAUGGAGAGAGAGAGAAAGAGAUGGAAGAGAGAAGAAAGGAUAUGAGGAAUAAAGGAAGGGUCUUACAAAAACAAAAAAAGUAGGAGAUUAAUGGAAAAAGAAUACUUAAUAAAGCUCUCUUGGGCUCUCUCUCUCUCUCUCUCUCUCUUUCUCUUUCUCUCUCUCUCUCUCUCUCU
RNAcentral lists this microRNA precursor (181 nucleotides) under Marmota monax (woodchuck). Lineage: Eukaryota; Metazoa; Chordata; Mammalia; Rodentia; Sciuridae. The record is from RNAcentral.